This 84-nucleotide transfer RNA is filed under the name Reichenbachiella carrageenanivorans. RNAcentral describes it as "Reichenbachiella sp. Wsw4-B4 tRNA-Leu". It matches the Rfam family "tRNA". From Rfam's summary of the family: Transfer RNA (tRNA) molecules are approximately 80 nucleotides in length. Their secondary structure includes four short double-helical elements and three loops (D, anti-codon, and T loops). Further hydrogen bonds mediate the characteristic L-shaped molecular structure. tRNAs have two regions of fundamental functional importance: the anti-codon, which is responsible for specific mRNA codon recognition, and the 3' end, to which the tRNAs corresponding amino acid is attached (by aminoacyl-tRNA synthetases). tRNAs cope with the degeneracy of the genetic code in two manners: having more than one tRNA (with a specific anti-codon) for a particular amino acid; and 'wobble' base-pairing, i.e. permitting non-standard base-pairing at the 3rd anti-codon position. Lineage: Bacteria; Pseudomonadati; Bacteroidota; Cytophagia; Cytophagales; Reichenbachiellaceae. The record is from RNAcentral.
GCGCACGUGGUGAAAUUGGUAGACACGCCAGCUUGAGGGGCUGGUGAGCUCACGCUCGUGGAAGUUCGAAUCUUCUCGUGCGCA